Molecule: long non-coding RNA, 7090 nt
Filed under: Brassica napus (rape)
Lineage: Eukaryota; Viridiplantae; Streptophyta; Magnoliopsida; Brassicales; Brassicaceae
Description: long non-coding RNA (BNAP_LNC004840)
Source: RNAcentral
CGUAGAUACACCAUUAGUCUAACAUUCAUAUUAUUCAAGAAUUCAAGACUCAAGAAAUCAUGAUUCAAGAAUUCAAGAUUCAUACCACAAGCGAGUGUUGUGCUGUGAAUGAGGACAUCUCUGGAGUUCUGAAGGUGAAUCCCAUCGGUGUUUGGACUGUCACCAGGUGAAGAAACGGACAUGUCAUGUACCUCAACGUCGAUGCAGUUAUCGAAUUUGAGGUGACACUGAGGACUGUUUUGGAUAGUUAUACCAGACACUUCCACCCCAAUACUCCCAUAGAAUCGCAGUGCCUAUAUAAACCAGAAACACAAGUUAGUAUAAAAAUCAAUGCUUAAAGUUUUCAUAGUGCCAAACUCUUUUGUUUCUUUCUUUCUCACCGUUGGUUUAAUGCUUGGCAUUUUCCAAUCAAGCUCACUUCUUUCCUGUUCAAAUGUGAAAUAAAAAGGGUUUGAUCUUGGAUGAAUAUUCUACAAAUGACACACUACUGAAGCAAGGCCUGAGCUGGACACAGUCUAAUGAAAUAUUGGCCUUGGCACUCAAAUUUUUUUAAUGUUAUAUAGACAUAAGCCUUCAAAUUAUGAAGAAAAAAAAAUUAAAUUUUUUUUUGUAUAUGAACAUACUGGCAUUGGUGGGUUUUGGUGAACAGAAUUGUUCAAGGGAACGAUGAGCUUAGUUUCACCAUCAAUGAAAGGGUAAUCUUGUUGCCACCAACCAGAGCCUCUUCCAUCAAUCACACCUUUACCUUGUACUUUAAUUCCUUUCAGCUUUGUGAAUUCAAGCCACCACAUUAACCCUUUUCCCCAUGAUUUUGAAUCCGUUGGAGCUAUAAUAGUACCAUCAAGCUGCAACCACACACUAAAACGUUUUAGAUAUUUUAAACCAAAGUGAUACAAUUAUUGUAUUUAAAAGAUCAACUCUCACCUGGAACACAAUGUUAGCUUGACAAUAAGGACCAGAGAAUGAGAUUGGACCUACAAGAAAAGUGUAUUCAGGCGGUACAGUCAUCAUGGAUGCCUCUACUUUGCAAGCCGCUGCCCAAGCCGCUUCAAACGCCUGCAAACAUUAUGAAACCCUUUUAAUUUACCCUAAUCACCAGUAUAAUAAUGGUGAUUAACGGUUGUGAUUUGUGGUCCCAUCUGUAAUCUGUUAUUUCUGUUGUCACUUUAUAUUCGUUUGUCUUUUUCUUUUGGGGCUCAUAAUCAUGUAAUACGAAUACUGCAUCAUUAUCAAAAACAACAAAAUAAAAUUAAAUGAGAUAUUGACUUUGCCUGAGCUUCGAAUUCAUCAUCCAGCAGAAUGUUUGACGAUUUAAUGUCCCUAUGGAUAAUCUUCGGGUGACCUAUUAAAUUGAUACAAAGUUAAAUCAGGGUAAACAUUUAAAUCAAAUUAAUCUUUUAAAUUUUUACCAAAAAAAAAAAGAAUUCACACUACUAAGAAAAUAAAUUGGAAAAUGUAAUGGAGAGUACUUACAAUCUUCAUGUAGAUAAGCAAGUCCUUUGGCUGCGCCUAUUGCAAUUUUGACUCUUCUAGUCCAUUCCAAAACCGGUAAGUCUUUGCCUGACAACAAUAUAAAGAAAGGUUGUACUUAGGCAAUACAAAACUAAAUACCAACACAAAUCUGAUCUUAAUUCAAUAAAAUAUAGAGCUAAUUAAACAAAGAGAUUUUGCAAAGUACCAUGUAAAUGGUAGUCCAGGGUAUUGUUGGGGACAAACUCAUAUAUAAGGAACCUAUGUUGCUCACAGAUGCAAUAACCCACAAGAGACACCAAAUGCCUAUGAUGCACUCUGCUUAUGAUCUCCACUUCAGCUUUGAACUCUCUAUAUCCUUCUGCGCUGAUCGACUUUAGCUGUUUAAUAGCGAUUGGCUUUCCCUCGCUAAGAAUACCCUUGAAGACGCACCCGAACCCACCUUCUCCUAUGACAAAUCUCUUGGAAAAUCCUUCUGUUAUCUCACUUAGCUCCUCAAAGGUGAAAGGGAUCUUUGAAGUCCCUAUUACUGCAGAGUCAGGGGUUCCUCGACCUGGUUUUGGAUUCCCUAAACUGUUGUUUGUAUCCGGUAAUGAGUUCUGCGCCGAGGCGGGCCCGUUUCCAGGGUUUUGCCUGUAGUGAAUGAGUCCCUCUGGGCCAAAACCAAAGUUAGGAUCAAGAACAAAAGUCACAAUGAAAAACAUGAAUCAACAUUCAAGAAACAAAUAAAAACAAGAAUAAGAAUUCAAGAAUAAAGAAAAAAAGAAUUCACGAAUCAAGAACAUGGAACUAAGGAUCAAGAACAAUACUAGGAGGCAGAUAAAUAUCAGAACAGAAAAACAAGAAUCUAGAACAUAUUUUACCCCAAAAAAAAGAAUCUAGAACAUAAAAGAAGACAAGAAUCAAAAACCACACCAAAAGUACAUUUACACAUGUUUUGGUCUUGUUACCUGUAUGAACAGAGACAUUAGCCGGUGGCAAAUACUGCUGGUUAGACCUAGGGGAAGAAGAUUUCUUUUGUUUCCUCCUAAAGAAGAAGAUGACAGCAAUGAUUAUAAUGACCAAGACACCUGCGACCCCAAUGCCGAUCAAUGCCUUCUCAGUGAAGUUAGGUUCAUUGUUUUGUUGUCCAUUACCACCAUUAUGUCUAUUAGAACCUCCAGAGUUGUCAUCGGAGCCGGAGAGGGAAGGAGGAGACGGGACAGAAGAGGACGAGGGCACAUGAUUUGAUCCUUCCGCGGGAGGUGAGUCCAGAGGUUGUGAAGGGUUUCUUGGGAGAUUAGGGUUUAGCGAGAUAACCGGAGGAGAUGGAGAUGAAAAUGGAGGAGAGCCUUGGCUACCUGACGGCGGUGAUAAAGGGUUUAAAGGCGGAGAUGGAGGAGAAUUAGGGUUGUUGGGUUGUUCUUGGCCGUUAUCAUUAGGUUUGGCCUCUGGUUGCUGAGUAACUAAGGUUGGAGGAGGAAGAGCAGGAAGAGGAAGUUGAGGCUUUGGAGAAGGAAUCACCACAGGAGAAUCUCCGGAAGGGGUGGAUUGAGGCGGAGUUUGAGGCUGAGGAGGUGACGGAGGUGGAGUUAUAGAGGGUGGAGGUGAAGAAGGAGGCUUUGGAGGCGGAGUUGUAAUAGGAGGUUGAUUUGAUGGUGGUGGAGAAACCGUUACCGGUGGAGGAGAUGAUUGUGAGCCGCCGCCACCACUGUCUUGGGAUGGAGGAGAAGGAGGUGAGGUCGCUGGAGGCUGUGUAGUCUGUGAACCGCCGAGGAUUUUCUGAUCAGUGAAUCCUGGGGGGACAAACUCAUAUAUAAGGAACCUAUGUUGCUCACAGAUGCAAUAACCCACAAGAGACACCAAAUGCCUAUGAUGCACUCUGCUUAUGAUCUCCACUUCAGCUUUGAACUCUCUAUAUCCUUCUGCGCUGAUCGACUUUAGCUGUUUAAUAGCGAUUGGCUUUCCCUCGCUAAGAAUACCCUUGAAGACGCACCCGAACCCACCUUCUCCUAUGACAAAUCUCUUGGAAAAUCCUUCUGUUAUCUCACUUAGCUCCUCAAAGGUGAAAGGGAUCUUUGAAGUCCCUAUUACUGCAGAGUCAGGGGUUCCUCGACCUGGUUUUGGAUUCCCUAAACUGUUGUUUGUAUCCGGUAAUGAGUUCUGCGCCGAGGCGGGCCCGUUUCCAGGGUUUUGCCUGUAGUGAAUGAGUCCCUCUGGGCCAAAACCAAAGUUAGGAUCAAGAACAAAAGUCACAAUGAAAAACAUGAAUCAACAUUCAAGAAACAAAUAAAAACAAGAAUAAGAAUUCAAGAAUAAAGAAAAAAAGAAUUCACGAAUCAAGAACAUGGAACUAAGGAUCAAGAACAAUACUAGGAGGCAGAUAAAUAUCAGAACAGAAAAACAAGAAUCUAGAACAUAUUUUACCCCAAAAAAAAGAAUCUAGAACAUAAAAGAAGACAAGAAUCAAAAACCACACCAAAAGUACAUUUACACAUGUUUUGGUCUUGUUACCUGUAUGAACAGAGACAUUAGCCGGUGGCAAAUACUGCUGGUUAGACCUAGGGGAAGAAGAUUUCUUUUGUUUCCUCCUAAAGAAGAAGAUGACAGCAAUGAUUAUAAUGACCAAGACACCUGCGACCCCAAUGCCGAUCAAUGCCUUCUCAGUGAAGUUAGGUUCAUUGUUUUGUUGUCCAUUACCACCAUUAUGUCUAUUAGAACCUCCAGAGUUGUCAUCGGAGCCGGAGAGGGAAGGAGGAGACGGGACAGAAGAGGACGAGGGCACAUGAUUUGAUCCUUCCGCGGGAGGUGAGUCCAGAGGUUGUGAAGGGUUUCUUGGGAGAUUAGGGUUUAGCGAGAUAACCGGAGGAGAUGGAGAUGAAAAUGGAGGAGAGCCUUGGCUACCUGACGGCGGUGAUAAAGGGUUUAAAGGCGGAGAUGGAGGAGAAUUAGGGUUGUUGGGUUGUUCUUGGCCGUUAUCAUUAGGUUUGGCCUCUGGUUGCUGAGUAACUAAGGUUGGAGGAGGAAGAGCAGGAAGAGGAAGUUGAGGCUUUGGAGAAGGAAUCACCACAGGAGAAUCUCCGGAAGGGGUGGAUUGAGGCGGAGUUUGAGGCUGAGGAGGUGACGGAGGUGGAGUUAUAGAGGGUGGAGGUGAAGAAGGAGGCUUUGGAGGCGGAGUUGUAAUAGGAGGUUGAUUUGAUGGUGGUGGAGAAACCGUUACCGGUGGAGGAGAUGAUUGUGAGCCGCCGCCACCACUGUCUUGGGAUGGAGGAGAAGGAGGUGAGGUCGCUGGAGGCUGUGUAGUCUGUGAACCGCCGAGGAUUUUCUGAUCAGUGAAUCCUGGGAGGUUUGGUUGAUGUGAAGUAACAAACGGAGCUAUCUUCUUUCCGAUAAAAUCUGCUUGUUCCUGGACCUUGUCCAUUUGUUUUAUUCACCUUUGCUUGUUCUCUUUCUUUCUUUUACAGCAUUUGCUCUUAAAGAGGUUCCGUAGAGAACAAGAAAGGAUCUUCUGUUUACUCUGAGAUCCAAUCUAAAUCGGCUAAAAUCCCACAGAAAUCCCAGAAUUUAUUUUCAGAUACAAUGUGUUCAUGAGAACAACAAGAUUGGUGGAAACUAACGAAAAGAGAGAUGAAAAAAAAAAAUCCAAGCCUAUAGGGUUUCUUGUGACUCAAGGAUGAUAGGAAGAGAGUUUCUAUCAAAUUGAUUCAGGUUUUUGUUAGUUGAUGAUAUUUUUCUUCCUUGAGGUUUUUUUCUCUGUCGCGUUCUUCUUUGGUGUAAAAAUAGAAAGUCUCCUAAAUCUCAACGAAUUGAAUUCUAAAAAUGACUGAGAAAAUAGGCUAAAAAUUCAUUUUAUUGUUAUUUUUACAGUAAAUAAUUGUAGGAAAGAAAAGUACCAAUAUCUGGAAGAUUCACCCUUCAGCUUCAUUGUCGGGUUGCCGCGUAAAUUAUUCUUUCUUAAAGUAUUAUUUUAAGCUCUUUCGGUGAAUUCUUUUAACAUAUAGUUCACAAAAUGGGGUUACAGCAUUGAUCUGAUAAUGGUGGAAGUUUAUUAACUGGUAAAGUGAAACGUCCAUGCAUAUAAACUUCAGAUUAUUUGAGUACUAUAGUUUGAAUUUCAAAUUAGUAUUAAUGAGUGAUAUAGUUUUGAAUCGUUGUUGUCUCAGUCAAGGAUGGAGGAGAUCACUCCAUGCUUUUUACCGUUGUCUCUAGCUAAUGUGUUGUUUUCUAUAUUAUGUUUGUGUGGUUCAAAUACUUUAACUUGCAUUCCCUAUUAAACACACAAUGUUGGUAAACAGUAACUAGCAGGACCAGCUAAGGCUCCUGAUUAAAUAGCACAGUAUACAAAUAUUCAUAUUGCUAAAGAUUUUGUCUUUUCACAUCCAUUUUACAACCACAGAUAAUAUACUUUAUCUCUCUAUCCAACCUCAGGACCAUUGCAGAAUAUUUUCUGCAACUCUGCCUGGUCUCAAUAUGGUUUAUCACCACUUGAUUCUGAUCAAUAAAGUGAGACAUUUAAGUAACAAUAAAAGUAUAGAAAAAGACAUCAAUUUAAAACUAAACUAUAAUUCGUAUGAAGCAGUGGUACUAGAUUACUAGUAGUAGUAGGCUUUUAGACAAGAUAUACAUUCAUCUACAUGUUUCACACAACUUCCAAGACCCAUCAACAUACAUCAUGAUCAGACUGAACUCUGUUUCUUGCAGGCUUCCCAAUCUGUAAACAAUCAAUAGGAGGAAGAGUAGGAGUAUUGAGCUCACCAAAUGUCUGCCAGCAAAACGGAUCAGACAUAUGAUACUUUUCUUGAACCGGCUUAAGCUCUAUUGCAGAUAACUGCACAUCCACGCAAGGGAAGUUAUCGCUGCAAGCGAAAUGCACAGGUUUCACGGUAUAAGUGCCUUUGAUCCUCUCGUAAGUCACUCCUUCCACUGCAACUGCUGAUGUCUGGUUCUUGCAUUUGCUAUGGUCACAGUAGAAUUGGUCUAUCACUAUUGGAAGCUGGACCUCAUUGAGUUGAAUGUUUGAGAAGAGUAUCCCUUUCACUGAUCCUACUCCUCCUUGCCAUGUCUUGAUCCUGACCCCUGUCAUCGUGUUGUGCAUCGCCACAUCUCUCACUGUUAUGUUCGAGACACACGCUUUUGUGCUGUCUUUGCCGAGACUACCUAUGCUAAUACCGUGACCUGGUCCACAGUUCACGUUGUGUACGAAUACAUUCGAGCAACCUGUUUGGAUGGAGAUACAAUCAUCUCCUGCACACACACACACACGUAGAUACACCAUUAGUCUAACAUUCAUAUUAUUCAAGAAUUCAAGACUCAAGAAAUCAUGAUUCAAGAAUUCAAGAUUCAUACCACAAGCGAGUGUUGUGCUGUGAAUGAGGACAUCUCUGGAGUUCUGAAGGUGAAUCCCAUCGGUGUUUGGACUGUCACCAGGUGAAGAAACGGACAUGUCAUGUACCUCAACGUCGAUGCAGUUAUCGAAUUUGAGGUGACACUGAGGACUGUUUUGGAUAGUUAUACCAGACACUUCCACCCCAAUACUCCCAUAGAAUCGCAGUGCCUAUAUAAACCAGAAACACAAGUUAGUAUAAAAAUCAAUGCUUAAAGUUUUCAUAGUGCCAAACUCUUUUGUUUCUUUCUUUCUCAC